Molecule: ribosomal RNA, 738 nt
Filed under: Triticum aestivum (bread wheat)
Lineage: Eukaryota; Viridiplantae; Streptophyta; Magnoliopsida; Poales; Poaceae
Description: partial small subunit ribosomal RNA
Source: RNAcentral
AUGCAGCUAAGUAAUCUCUAUGAGCAAAUGGAUCUGUCCUGCCUUGUGGAUGAGUUCUCUUGGGGUGAGAUUGCCACUGCUGUCAUGCAUUCACCUAACAAUCGCAGCCCGGGCCCUGAUGGUUUCACCAAUGAGUUUUACAAAACCUUCCUUGGUGUCAUUAAGAAUGAUCUACAGUUCUUUUUCCAGCAGUUGUAUCAUCACCUAGUGGACUUGUCUGGAGUUAAUCAGGCAUACAUUUCCCUCAUACCAAAGAAAGACACCCCCUUGGAGCUUAGAGAUUACCGGCCCAUCUCGGUUGUACACAGCCUGCCAAAGCUUGCAAGCAAAGUGCUUGCUAGGAGGCUCCAAAUUCAGCUUCCUGCGUUGGUCCACCCUCUUCAGUCCAGCUUUGCCAAGGGCCGAUCCAUUAUUGAGAAUUUUGUUAUGGCUGCAGACAUGGUGCAAACGGCACAUAAACGGAAGAUUCCCAUGAUAGUUCUUAAACUAGACUUCCAGAAGGCAUUCGACACGGUUAGUUGGGCUUGCCUUUCCAGCAUUUUGGAGGCUCGUGGCUUUCCUCGGAAAUUGAUCAGUUGGGUUGAUGCUAUUGUGUCCAUGGCCAGCUCCAGGGUCAUGAUCAAUGGUGAAUUGGGCGAACCGUUCCAAGCCAAAAGAGGAUUUAGGCAAGGUGAUUCAAUGUCACCGUAUCUGUUCAUUUUGGUGGCUGAUGUUUUGCAAAGACUCUGUUGUCAAUAG